RNAcentral lists this long non-coding RNA (509 nucleotides) under Mustela putorius furo (domestic ferret). RNAcentral describes it as "lncRNA (ENSMPUG00000025947.1)". The record is from RNAcentral. Lineage: Eukaryota; Metazoa; Chordata; Mammalia; Carnivora; Mustelidae.
GUCUGUCUGCUCUGUUGAAGGGUUCUAAAUGGCACUCCCCGUUUUACUUGCUCAUUGUCACUGUUAUGGGGAUCUGACUAUUGAAUAAGAAAAAGAAAAGAAGAGACAAAGCCUCUUUAUAAAAUGCAGCCCUAUUUCUUCGAUCUCCAAAGAGCUUUUAGCUCCAUCCCUUAAGAAUUCUCAAAGCCAAUGAAGAGCAAAGGGUUGCUCAGACAGCCUACGGCAAAAGAUAAAUCCACCUUUGUUCAGAGGACAGAGACCAAAGGGAUAUGGGCCACUAUCUACCAUUGGAUCGACUAUAUUGAACCUUUACCUACAGCACUAGCUAGUUUUAAAUUAUAUUGCUUGGUAUUUACACGUUCUUUCUAGUUUAAAACUUCAUCUACCCUCAGCAUAGUCCACAGUUAAUGGGCUGGAAAUACAAACUUCCAUUAAUCCUGACCCUCAAUAUUAUUUCUGUAUUAGCAGAAUAAAGAACACAUUCUAUAAAUGGGGAGGGAAGGAGUGGC